UCCACGUAGCGGUUUUGAACUUGCGUGCACGCGGCGUCCACGCAUUUGCGGCAGGAAGUACCCAACAUCACAUAGAAUCAUGCACACGCACUUGCGUUAACGCGGCGUCGACUCGCGUCUCAUUUGCGGCGAAAGUUACCGCAAAGUCACCGCUUUUCCCCACAGGAACGCAGCGUGCACGCGAGUAGUUUUUGACAUUUCUCUAUUCUUUUUCUUUCCAACAAGAUUUCUAAUGGGAAAAUCUGCAGAAAGAAUCUGUCAGAGCGAAAUCAAAACAAACAAAAAUACUUCGCAAAUCAGUUCAUUUUGGUUUCGCAAAUUAGUUUGCAAAUAACAAAACGUUUCAAAUCUAACUUUUUUAAAUAAUAGUGCUAGUAAUAGUUCGGAGCAGCAAAUGUUUCUUUCGCUCCUAUGUUAAUACCAGCCGUGAUCAACACACCUUUGGAAAGAAGUGACAAGCAAACAUCCCAGGCUGGCGAAUAGUGUUAAAGUCAACCGAAAUAUGUGUGCGAUAGUGACGUUGAUUGUACCAACUUUAUCAGAAUAAAUUGAUUUCCGAACAGACAGCGAUGUGACAGUUUUGGACUGAAUGACGGAGCAGACGAAAUUCAACCAACAAAGUGUAUUCCGCGGGACCCUACACCAAGGCAGGCGAUACCAGUUCCAUGGGAAGAAUAAUAAAUGAAUGUUGACGGAAGGAUGUCGUCAAACAAUGUGGAUUGCGAUUGCAAAAAGAAACGGGACCACAUGAUGAGAUGGUAGCGAGCCACAGUAAGACUCCGGGAUCUGUGCGACUCUUCUAGUGUUGUGGGGCAACGCUAUUGCGGUCGAACAAAAUAAUGAUUCGUCCCUAUCUAGCCGAUAUAUUAAAUGAUUAAAGAAUCGUACCCCAUAGACAACAUAUGAUGGAUUCAAGAUAAGAACAAUUAAAUGUCUGGAUCCACAAUUAUUCAAGAUUAAUCUAACCCAAUGAAGUAAUAAAUUUAAGUUGGAAAUAAAGAAUAAAGAACAUUAUGAAAUUAUAACAAUAAUUAUUUAUUAUAAUUGUAGAAAAUACAUUGGGAUAAAGCAAAGCAAUGCCAAAUUUUUGCCUCUCUGUAUUGAAAACGUGUUUUCGGAUUGUGUGGCAUGAUUUCAAUUUCACAGCUCUACAAUUAAUUUCGGAAGUUCGAACUUUUCAUUUUAGAAGUAGAUAAUGGGUGACUUUUGAAUCGACAGUGAAUUGAUU
This is a long non-coding RNA of Armigeres subalbatus, 1228 nucleotides long. RefSeq lists it as uncharacterized. Lineage: Eukaryota; Metazoa; Arthropoda; Insecta; Diptera; Culicidae. The record is from RefSeq and is a predicted model, not a curated record. The transcript is spliced from 3 exons.